This 2858-nucleotide ribosomal RNA is filed under the name Salmonella enterica subsp. enterica serovar Enteritidis. RNAcentral's name for it is "bacterial LSU rRNA". It matches the Rfam family "Bacterial large subunit ribosomal RNA". Lineage: Bacteria; Pseudomonadati; Pseudomonadota; Gammaproteobacteria; Enterobacterales; Enterobacteriaceae. The record is from RNAcentral.
GGGUUGUGAGGUUAAGCGACUAAGCGUACACGGUGGAUGCCCUGGCAGUCAGAGGCGAUGAAGGGCGUGCUAAUCUGCGAUAAGCGCCGGUAAGGUGAUAUGAACCGUUAUAACCGGCGAUACCCGAAUGGGGAAACCCAGUGUGAUUCGUCACACUAUCAUUAACUGAAUCCAUAGGUUAAUGAGGCGAACCGGGGGAACUGAAACAUCUAAGUACCCCGAGGAAAAGAAAUCAACCGAGAUUCCCCCAGUAGCGGCGAGCGAACGGGGAGGAGCCCAGAGCCUGAAUCAGCAUGUGUGUUAGUGGAAGCGUCUGGAAAGGCGCGCGAUACAGGGUGACAGCCCCGUACACAAAAGCGCAUGUGCUGUGAGCUCGAUGAGUAGGGCGGGACACGUGGUAUCCUGUCUGAAUAUGGGGGGACCAUCCUCCAAGGCUAAAUACUCCUGACUGACCGAUAGUGAACCAGUACCGUGAGGGAAAGGCGAAAAGAACCCCGGCGAGGGGAGUGAAAAAGAACCUGAAACCGUGUACGUACAAGCAGUGGGAGCNNNNNNNNNNNNNNNNNNNNNNNNNNNNNNNNNNNNNNGGGCGUUAAGUUGCAGGGUAUAGACCCGAAACCCGGUGAUCUAGCCAUGGGCAGGUUGAAGGUUGGGUAACACUAACUGGAGGACCGAACCGACUAAUGUUGAAAAAUUAGCGGAUGACCUGUGGCUGGGGGUGAAAGGCCAAUCAAACCGGGAGAUAGCUGGUUCUCCCCGAAAGCUAUUUAGGUAGCGCCUCGUGAAUUCAUCUCCGGGGGUAGAGCACUGUUUCGGCUAGGGGGCCAUCCCGGCUUACCAACCCGAUGCAAACUGCGAAUACCGGAGAAUGUUAUCACGGGAGACACACGGCGGGUGCUAACGUCCGUCGUGAAGAGGGAAACAACCCAGACCGCCAGCUAAGGUCCCAAAGUCAUGGUUAAGUGGGAAACGAUGUGGGAAGGCCCAGACAGCCAGGAUGUUGGCUUAGAAGCAGCCAUCAUUUAAAGAAAGCGUAAUAGCUCACUGGUCGAGUCGGCCUGCGCGGAAGAUGUAACGGGGCUAAACCAUGCACCGAAGCUGCGGCAGCGACACUGUGUGUUGUUGGGUAGGGGAGCGUUCUGUAAGCCUGUGAAGGUGUGUCGUGAGGCAUGCUGGAGGUAUCAGAAGUGCGAAUGCUGACAUAAGUAACGAUAAAGCGGGUGAAAAGCCCGCUCGCCGGAAGACCAAGGGUUCCUGUCCAACGUUAAUCGGGGCAGGGUGAGUCGACCCCUAAGGCGAGGCCGAAAGGCGUAGUCGAUGGGAAACGGGUUAAUAUUCCCGUACUUGGUGUUACUGCGAAGGGGGGACGGAGAAGGCUAUGUUGGCCGGGCGACGGUUGUCCCGGUUUAAGCGUGUAGGUGUGUGUUCCAGGUAAAUCCGGUUCACUUUAACACUGAGGCGUGACGACGAGGCACUACGGUGCUGAAGCAACAAAUGCCCUGCUUCCAGGAAAAGCCUCUAAGCAUCAGGUAACAUCAAAUCGUACCCCAAACCGACACAGGUGGUCAGGUAGAGAAUACCAAGGCGCUUGAGAGAACUCGGGUGAAGGAACUAGGCAAAAUGGUGCCGUAACUUCGGGAGAAGGCACGCUGACACGUAGGUGAAGUGAUUUACUCAUGGAGCUGAAGUCAGUCGAAGAUACCAGCUGGCUGCAACUGUUUAUUAAAAACACAGCACUGUGCAAACACGAAAGUGGACGUAUACGGUGUGACGCCUGCCCGGUGCCGGAAGGUUAAUUGAUGGGGUCAGCGCAAGCGAAGCUCCUGAUCGAAGCCCCGGUAAACGGCGGCCGUAACUAUAACGGUCCUAAGGUAGCGAAAUUCCUUGUCGGGUAAGUUCCGACCUGCACGAAUGGCGUAAUGAUGGCCAGGCUGUCUCCACCCGAGACUCAGUGAAAUUGAACUCGCUGUGAAGAUGCAGUGUACCCGCGGCAAGACGGAAAGACCCCGUGAACCUUUACUAUAGCUUGACACUGAACAUUGAGCCUUGAUGUGUAGGAUAGGUGGGAGGCUUUGAAGUGUGGACGCCAGUCUGCAUGGAGCCGACCUUGAAAUACCACCCUUUAAUGUUUGAUGUUCUAACGUGGACCCGUUACCCGGGUUGCGGACAGUGUCUGGUGGGUAGUUUGACUGGGGCGGUCUCCUCCUAAAGAGUAACGGAGGAGCACGAAGGUUGGCUAAUCCUGGUCGGACAUCAGGAGGUUAGUGCAAUGGCAUAAGCCAGCUUGACUGCGAGCGUGACGGCGCGAGCAGGUGCGAAAGCAGGUCAUAGUGAUCCGGUGGUUCUGAAUGGAAGGGCCAUCGCUCAACGGAUAAAAGGUACUCCGGGGAUAACAGGCUGAUACCGCCCAAGAGUUCAUAUCGACGGCGGUGUUUGGCACCUCGAUGUCGGCUCAUCACAUCCUGGGGCUGAAGUAGGUCCCAAGGGUAUGGCUGUUCGCCAUUUAAAGUGGUACGCGAGCUGGGUUUAGAACGUCGUGAGACAGUUCGGUCCCUAUCUGCCGUGGGCGCUGGAGAACUGAGGGGGGCUGCUCCUAGUACGAGAGGACCGGAGUGGACGCAUCACUGGUGUUCGGGUUGUCAUGCCAAUGGCACUGCCCGGUAGCUAAAUGCGGAAGAGAUAAGUGCUGAAAGCAUCUAAGCACGAAACUUGCCCCGAGAUGAGUUCUCCCUGAGACUUAGAGUCUCCUGAAGGAACGUUGAAGACGACGACGUUGAUAGGCCGGGUGUGUAAGCGCAGCGAUGCGUUGAGCUAACCGGUACUAAUGAACCGUGAGGCUUAACCUUACAACGCCGAAG